This 280-nucleotide long non-coding RNA is filed under the name Elaeis guineensis (African oil palm). Its description in RNAcentral is "long non-coding RNA (EGUI_LNC027088)". The record is from RNAcentral. Lineage: Eukaryota; Viridiplantae; Streptophyta; Magnoliopsida; Arecales; Arecaceae.
CUUAUCAUCAAAGUAUUGAUUGUAACGGAUCCUUCAAGAAUGAUUAUCAGAUUGAAACCAUUGAUGACCCAUAAAGCAUAUUUUUCGUUCAUGCUUUAAAUAUAAGGAGGAUGCAUUCUUGUUGCAUAUUGGACAUGUCAGAUGUCCUUUGGUGCUCCAUCCAGAUAAGUUUUCAUAUGCAGAAAAAUUAUUUAUAAUCCAUAGAAUCAAAGCAUGCAAUUUAAAUUUUUUUCGACUCACAAAAUCAUAUGUCUGUACUCCAUUUUCUCAUAGCUCCUUU